CGAUCAGGUUGUUGGUGAGGUAAUGGCCCACCAAGCCUAUAACCGGUGCGGGCCGUGAGAGCGGGAGCCCGGAGAUGGGCACUGAGACAAGGGCCCAGGUCCUACGGGGCGCAGCAGUCGCGAAAACUUUGCAAUACACGAAAGUGUGACAGGGUCAUCCCGAGUGCCGACCGCUGAGGUUGGCUUUUACCCAGUCUAGAAAGCUGGGGGAAUAAGGAGAGGGCAAGUCUGGUGUCAGCCGCCGCGGUAAUACCAGCUCUCCGAGUGGUGUGGACGUUUAUUGGGCCUAAAGCAUCCGUAGCUGGCUGAACAAGUCCCCUGUUAAACCCACCGAUUUAAUCGUUGGCGUGCGGGGGAUACUGCUCGGCUAGGGGACGAGAGAGGCAGACGGUAUUCCCGGGGUAGGGGUGAAAUCCUAUAAUCCCGAGAAGACCACCAGUGGCGAAGGCUGUCUGCUAGAACGCGCCCGACGGUGAGGGAUGAAAGCUGGGGGAGCGAACCGGAUUAGAUACCCGGGUAGUCCCAGCUGUAAACGAUGCAGACUAGGUGUUUGGACGGCCACGUGCCGUUCUAGUGCCGCAGGGAAGCUGUUAAGUCUGCCGCCUGGGGAGUACGAUCGCAAGAUUGAAACUUAA
This 635-nucleotide ribosomal RNA is filed under the name uncultured archaeon. Its description in RNAcentral is "bacterial SSU rRNA". It matches the Rfam family "Archaeal small subunit ribosomal RNA", at positions 222 to 859 of the family's 1478-position model. The record is from RNAcentral.